CUUGGUCUCUGACAUCUCAAAGGGCUUGCCCAGAAGAAUUUCUUUCUGGUGGAGAGCAACUGUGGAAGUCAAGGACAGAAAUCACCCACUGUGUCAUCUGAUACUCCUCUGAUUGUUAUACCUAUCCUCAAUGUUAAGGAAAUGAGACCAAUUGAAAUGUCCACAUUAAAAAAUAAGAAGAAGGAGAGAAGGUUUUCCAAUGGCAGGUCUCUGUUCC
This 217-nucleotide long non-coding RNA is filed under the name Aotus nancymaae (Ma's night monkey). RNAcentral describes it as "lncRNA (ENSANAG00000038722.1)". Lineage: Eukaryota; Metazoa; Chordata; Mammalia; Primates; Aotidae. The record is from RNAcentral.